This 758-nucleotide ribosomal RNA is filed under the name uncultured bacterium. RNAcentral's name for it is "bacterial SSU rRNA". It matches the Rfam family "Bacterial small subunit ribosomal RNA", at positions 69 to 822 of the family's 1533-position model. The record is from RNAcentral.
GGAAAUGUAGCUUGCUACAUUACCUAGCGGCGGACGGGUGAGUAAUGCUUAGGAAUCUGCCUAUUAGUGGGGGACAACAUUCCGAAAGGAAUGCUAAUACCGCAUACGUCCUACGGGAGAAAGCAGGGGACCUUCGGGCCUUGCGCUAAUAGAUGAGCCUAAGUCGGAUUAGCUAGUUGGUGGGGUAAAGGCCUACCAAGGCGACGAUCUGUAGCGGGUCUGAGAGGAUGAUCCGCCACACUGGGACUGAGACACGGCCCAGACUCCUACGGGAGGCAGCAGUGGGGAAUAUUGGACAAUGGGGGGAACCCUGAUCCAGCCAUGCCGCGUGUGUGAAGAAGGCCUUUUGGUUGUAAAGCACUUUAAGCGAGGAGGAGGCUACUAGUAUUAAUACUACUGGAUAGUGGACGUUACUCGCAGAAUAAGCACCGGCUAACUCUGUGCCAGCAGCCGCGGUAAUACAGAGGGUGCGAGCGUUAAUCGGAUUUACUGGGCGUAAAGCGUGCGUAGGCGGCUGAUUAAGUCGGAUGUGAAAUCCCUGAGCUUAACUUAGGAAUUGCAUUCGAUACUGGUCAGCUAGAGUAUGGGAGAGGAUGGUAGAAUUCCAGGUGUAGCGGUGAAAUGCGUAGAGAUCUGGAGGAAUACCGAUGGCGAAGGCAGCCAUCUGGCCUAAUACUGACGCUGAGGUACGAAAGCAUGGGGAGCAAACAGGAUUAGAUACCCUGGUAGUCCAUGCCGUAAACGAUGUCUACUAGCCG